Molecule: non-coding RNA, 4121 nt
Organism: Zootermopsis nevadensis
Lineage: Eukaryota; Metazoa; Arthropoda; Insecta; Blattodea; Termopsidae
Source: RefSeq, a predicted model, not a curated record
GAGUCGUACUGCCUCCGUCACCAGGACGAUGAAUAUUCAGACAUAAAUCUUCAACUUCGUACAGGUUUAUGCACCCACAAGUACAGUAGAUGAUGACAUUGUGGAAGCGUUUUAAAGUAACCUGGGGGCAACGUCGGGUCGACUGCGGCAACGUCGGGAGAUUCUACUCGUUAUCGGCGACUUGAAUGCUAAAAUUGAAAAUACGUAUGCAACGGAUGAAUACUACGGCGGCAUGGAAAAGUUUGGACUGGGUGACAGUAAUGAACUUGUGAUUCAGUCUACUGCCAAGAAGGUUGUACACAUGGAAGUCGAAUGAUGGUCGAACAAGAAACCAAAUCGAUUACAUUCUGGUCGACAAGCGAUGGCGCUCUGCAGUGUGCAGGGCUACAACAUUCUCAGGCGCAAAGAUCGGAUCAGAUCACCAGUUGUUGUGUGCACGAAUGCGAGUCAGACUACGUUGAGUUGGGAAGAAGAUGAUGUUUAGAAGGGAACCACUCACCAGCGCUGAAAGGAGACGUUCAUUGAAAAAGUGUCGCAGGUUAUAGUCAGUAAUAUCAAUAAUGCAUGGAACAAUGAUGUGGACCCUGAUACGAUGUGGACGCAGAUGAGGGACUCUGUGCGGUCGGUUGCCGAUGAGACAGCGCAAGAACGUCCAUGCCGACCAAAAGAACGUCAAAUGUGGAUGACUGAUGCGAACCUUGAGCUUGUACAACGAAGGAAGUCAUUUAGGUAACAGGCACCAGAUGGGUCACCAUCACAAAAAUAUCAUGAUAUAUGCCGUCAGAUACAGCGUAGAUAGGGAAGAGUCCAUUGAAGAUGCAUGUCAAGAUGUGGAGAGGCAUGCAGUGAAGAACGAGAUCAGUGCAGUGUACAACAAGGUGAAGCAGAUGACGCGCGAGUUCAAACCGAAAUCGUGGGCUGUAAAGGCUGAAGAUGUCUCCAUUUUGUGGGCAAGGGAGCAUGUCAUUGAACAUUGGCGCCGUUACUGUAAAACUCUGUAUGAAGAGGAUGUGAUCGUACAACCAUCAGCAGAUAUCCCACGAAUCGUGAUCAAUGCCGAGCCAGAACCAGAUAUUCCUCUUGGAGAUGUGGAAGAGGCGAUAAAGAAAUUGAAGAUACGUAAAGCUCCAGGAUGUGAUGGAAUAAAAGCCAAACUUAAAAAGGAUCUUGGCAAAGUCGCUGUUCGAGCUCUAUGGAAAGUCUGCAAAGCCGUCUGGAAUACGGGCAGAUGGCACAUGGUGCAAAUCAGUGCUCAUCCCGCUACACAAGAAAGGGUCGGCGCGCAUAUGCAGCAAUUAUCGACCAUUGCGCUAAUUCCGCAUGCCUGCAAAGUACUCCUGGAAAUCAUAAACACCAGGAUGACAGCAUUUUUAGACAGGCAGAUACCACCAGAACCAGCUGGCUUUGUCCCUGGACGAGAAACCCGCGAACAAAUACUAAAUGUGAGACGAAAAGGCGAGGGAAUUCAACAUACCCGUAAUUAUGUGCUUCGACUAUUCAAAAGCUUCCUACUUCACUGUUCUAGAUUCUAGUGGAGAUUGGCGUACCAAACUAUCGUGCCGGACUAGUGCGAUCGCUGUACGAAUCUAAUGAGAUGGUCGUGCGUUUGAAUGGCAUCGAUUAUGAACCAUUGAAGGGGCAGAAAGGAGUACGGCAGAGCUGUAUCUUAUCGCCGCAACUGUUUAACUUGUACGAUGAAUAAAACAUGCGGAAGGCACUAGCUAGCUAAAUGUGCGGCGUCUCGAUUGGCGGAAAGAAGCUCUCCAACUCGAGAUACGCGGACGACACGACCCUUAAAUCCGCAAAUAAAUAGCAGAUGAUCAGAUUUAUUGACCGGGUUAAAACCAUCAUCGAAAAACUGGGUCAGUUUAUCAACACGAGCAAAACAAAGUUGAUGGUGGUUGACCGAGUCGGCAGACUUAGGAGACUGACAUCGCCAUCACUUGGUGUUUCGAGAAAGUGGAACAGUUCACAUACCUCAGUUCGCUGAUUGAGGCUUCUCGUGGCUCAAACGCGGAAAUCAGAAGACGGCUCAACAUGGCGAAGUCGGUGAUGACGAGGCUAUGGAGAUUCACAUGUAACAAAGAGGUCUACCUGUGCUUGAGAAUAAAGUUAGUGAGUAAGUUCUUGUUUCCGGUGGCACUUUAUGGGGCCGAGACUUGGACGAUGAAAGCGAUCGAUCGAAAGCGCAUUGAUGCCUUUGGGAUGUGGACCUGGAGAAGGAUGAUGAGAAUCCCGUGGACGGCACAUCGCACUAACGUUUCCUGUUUGGAAGAGGUGAAGCCGGACUCAAGACUUAGUGAAGUCUGUGCAAAAUGGGUACUACAGUUCUUUGGGCAUUUUGUCCACGUGACGCGUCCAGCAUUGAAAAGACAGUCAUUCUAGGGAAAAUCGUGGACAAAAGAAGUCACGAACGUUGCCCUUCAAGAUGUAUAGAUCAGGUCGCACAAUUGACAAACAAGCCGAUCGCCAACGCAGUCCGUCUAGCACAGCACCGCGAGGGCUGGAGAAUAAUCACGAUUCAUUUUGGUCACGAAGGUCAAGCUUGACCAUAGACGAUGAAGAAGAAGAAGAAGUACACCGAGAUUCUGCAUUUUGUCACCCGCCGUGGCCUACUCUGUGUGUCUUUACCUUCUGCUGAUGGUGUCAUUUUACUGCAGCCUCCAGGAACGCAUGAUGUCUCUCCACGACAGAAGGAAUUUUGACUACAAAUUAUACAAUGUGUUACACGUGUCUAUAUGUGGAACCUGUGUGAUAAUCCCUUUGCUUAUGGCAUUAGACUUGAAGAAGCUUGUUCUUUACACAGGCGAAUGGAUGCAAUAUCAGAUACUGUUCCGGAAAGUCACUGGGCAGCUGUUGGUAUUGUCCGUUCGAAGGCGAUGUAUUUGCUACGCAGUUCUCAGCUGCUUGGGAGGAACUUCAACUAUCUUCUUUUACUUCUACGAACCACGAGUUCCUUUAUUAGCCCUACCUAGUUAUAUGUUUUCAGGCAUAUUGGCGGAAAUUAUGGUUAGUUACUGGAUGAUCACUUUCCACAGCCUUUCGUUAGCUGGCAGCAAAUACGCGACAUGUUUCAAGGUACAUUUGAGUUUGCACGUUGCAACUGGGAAUGGUUUCAGACAAACAGGUCUAAAAAAUUCAGGUGUUCUAAUGGAAAAUUUUUUGACACAUUUUUUAGUUUUAACAACUAGAUAUUUUAGGAGCUCAGAGAUAGCUCAGUCAGUACAGUGACUAUCUACGGGCUGAUGUUCGAUCCUCGAACGAUUUUUCUCCUAGCCUCUGCGUCCUAACCGGUUCUGGGGCUCACACAGCCUUUUGUUAAAUGGGUACAGGGAUUCUUUUCCAGCGGCCAGGGCGUGAUACCUACCAUUCAUCCCCAUCUAGUGCCGAUUCAAGAAUGAGUACGAGCUAUAUAUACCUCUCCUCACAAGCGACCUAUAUGGGGUGUAGAGGGGCUGCUUUACUUUAUUUUUACACCUAGGUAUUUUAAACGAAAUUACAGGGAUUUUAAAAAUGUUAAGUUAUAAGAAUUUGAUAUUAGACACACAUCCGUCAAACGACCCACAAAGAGCGAAUAAUUGAAAUUUUUUUAUGUACUUACUUGUGUAUUCGUUCUUUUUCUUAGGCUAAGAAUUCCUGGACCUUCACCUGUAGCUCCACGCACGUAAUCACAGUUUGUUUUUUCCUGUGCCUUGUACUACUUUGUCUGAAAUUAACUUGUUUAUUUUCUUUGUGAUGUCGUAAGUUUAGAAAUGGUAUACACGAAAGUGUCAUUGUGAAGGCAUAAAUAAACUGUAGAUGCACAGUAUCUUUCAUAUGUAACUUGCUGUCGAGUUAAAAAUAUGAAACAGAUAAUCAAAUUAAUAAUUAUUUUGAAUCGACACAUUCUUGUUUAUAAAACCCUGCACAUUUUAUCAGACAUGUUUUCCUAUACGUUGAUGUACAGUAAUAUCUAUGCUGCUACUUUCGAGUUUGGGAUUGAAACUAUGCAUUUUAUAAGCCCAUUCCAUAUUUCUCCUCUGUUAAGGUACUGCCACUGGGAACUCAGUUAAAAAUUUUGUAAAAUACUUUCUAAUGUCACAGGGCAGUAGUUUAUGUUCAUAACGGAUAUAGUACAUCGG